This 466-nucleotide ribosomal RNA is filed under the name uncultured bacterium. RNAcentral describes it as "partial 16S ribosomal RNA". It matches the Rfam family "Bacterial small subunit ribosomal RNA", at positions 28 to 507 of the family's 1533-position model. The record is from RNAcentral.
GAUGAACGCUGGCGGCGUGCUUAACACGUGCAAGUCGAACGAUGAAGCCCAGCUUGCUGGGUGGAUUAGUGGCGAACGGGUGAGUAACACGUGAGUAACCUGCCCUUAACUCUGGGAUAAGCCUGGGAAACUGGGUCUAAUACCGGAUAGGAGCGUCCACCGCAUGGUGGGUGUUGGAAAGAUUUAUCGGUUUUGGAUGGACUCGCGGCCUAUCAGCUUGUUGGUGAGGUAAUGGCUCACCAAGGCGACGACGGGUAGCCGGCCUGAGAGGGUGACCGGCCACACUGGGACUGAGACACGGCCCAGACUCCUACGGGAGGCAGCAGUGGGGAAUAUUGCACAAUGGGCGCAAGCCUGAUGCAGCGACGCCGCGUGAGGGAUGACGGCCUUCGGGUUGUAAACCUCUUUCAGUAGGGAAGAAGCGAAAGUGACGGUACCUGCAGAAGAAGCACCGGCUAACUACGUG